GGUCAGCAAGAUUCGUACUUUCUCGAUCAUUCACGCAGCGUCGCGGAUUGAUCGAGUCAAGCGGAGCGUCGUAACGUGUUUAAUUGUUAACUGUGUUUUCGCGAGUGUACCCAAUGCGACGAGGAAAUCUGAGAGGAGGAGGAGGCCUGGGGGGGGGGCAUCUGGCGACAGCGGAGCAACUCUGCAGUCAACGUUUCAACAACUCCGCUGUUGCGCAUCAGAUCUG
This is a long non-coding RNA of Atta colombica, 226 nucleotides long. RefSeq lists it as uncharacterized. Lineage: Eukaryota; Metazoa; Arthropoda; Insecta; Hymenoptera; Formicidae. The transcript has 3 exons. The record is from RefSeq and is a predicted model, not a curated record.